This 210-nucleotide long non-coding RNA is filed under the name Oryctolagus cuniculus (rabbit). Its description in RNAcentral is "lncRNA (ENSOCUG00000036766.1)". Lineage: Eukaryota; Metazoa; Chordata; Mammalia; Lagomorpha; Leporidae. The record is from RNAcentral.
CUGCAUUUGCUUUCUACCAGAUAGUGAAAUCAAACAACAGAAGAUGUGGUUGGGAAUCCACCGGUGAUGACAUAAAACUCACUUUUUGAGAUUUCCUAUUUUUCUUUCAGCAGCCUUGGCACUCAGGAUUCUACUUGCAGUGUGGCCACAGACAACUCUCCAAAUUACUCAAGUCCCCACUGUAGCUACAUUUCUAUUAAAAUGUCCGUG